RNAcentral lists this ribosomal RNA (468 nucleotides) under uncultured bacterium. RNAcentral describes it as "partial 16S ribosomal RNA". It matches the Rfam family "Bacterial small subunit ribosomal RNA", at positions 28 to 507 of the family's 1533-position model. The record is from RNAcentral.
GACGAACGCUGGCGGCGUGCCUAACACAUGCAAGUCGAACGGAAAGGUCCUGCUUUUGUGGGGUGCUCGAGUUGCGAACGGGUGAGUAACACGUGAGUAACCUGCCCCUGACCUUGGGAUAACUUCAUGAAACUGGGGCUAAUACCGGAUAGGAGCUCUCGCCGUAUGGUGGGGGUUGGAUAGUUUCGCUGGUUGGUCAUGGACUCGCGGCCCAUCAGCUUGUUGGUGUGGUAGUGGCUUACCAUGGCUUUGACAGGUAGCCGGCCUGCGCGGAUGACAGGCCACGUUAGAACUGGAAUGCGACACAGACUACUCCGGUAGGGAAGGGUGCAGAAGGGUGCACAAUGGGAGGAGGGAUAGUGUAGUAAAGCCACGUGGGGGAAGACAGCAAGCGGGUAGGGUUCCACUGUCGCCUGUGACGAGACGAGAGUGACGGUAAUGGGAGAAGAAGCACCGGCUAACUACGUG